RNAcentral lists this ribosomal RNA (452 nucleotides) under uncultured bacterium. RNAcentral's name for it is "partial 16S ribosomal RNA". It matches the Rfam family "Bacterial small subunit ribosomal RNA", at positions 355 to 799 of the family's 1533-position model. The record is from RNAcentral.
UAGGGAAUCUUCCACAAUGGACGCAAGUCUGAUGGAGCAACGCCGCGUGAGUGAAGAAGGUUUUCGGAUCGUAAAGCUCUGUUGUUGGUGAAGAAGGAUAGAGGCAGUAACUGGUCUUUAUUUGACGGUAAUCAACCAGAAAGUCACGGCUAACUACGUGCCAGCAGCCGCGGUAAUACGUAGGUGGCAAGCGUUGUCCGGAUUUAUUGGGCGUAAAGCGAGCGCAGGCGGAAUGAUAAGUCUGAUGUGAAAGCCCACGGCUCAACCGUGGAACUGCAUCGGAAACUGUCAUUCUUGAGUGCAGAAGAGGAGAGUGGAACUCCAUGUGUAGCGGUGGAAUGCGUAGAUAUAUGGAAGAACACCAGUGGCGAAGGCGGCUCUCUGGUCUGCAACUGACGCUGAGGCUCGAAAGCAUGGGUAGCGAACAGGAUUAGAUACCCUGGUAGUCCAUG